RNAcentral lists this ribosomal RNA (481 nucleotides) under uncultured bacterium. Its description in RNAcentral is "bacterial SSU rRNA". It matches the Rfam family "Bacterial small subunit ribosomal RNA", at positions 8 to 524 of the family's 1533-position model. The record is from RNAcentral.
AGAGUUUGAUCAUGGCUCAGGGUUAACGCUGGCGGCGUGCCUAACACAUGCAAGUCGAACGGUUCUAAGCGCGAGCUUAGGAUAGUGGCGAACGGGUGAGUAAAAGGUAGGAAUCUACCCCUUGGACGGAGAUAGCUACUGGAAACGGUAGGUAAACUUCGAUAAGCCCGAGAGGGGAAAGUGGUGAGACAGCCGAGGGAUGAGCCUACUCUCCAUCAGGUAGUUGGUGAGAUAAAAGCUUACCAAGCCGAUGACGGAUAACCGGUGUGAGAGCAUGAACGGUCACAAGGGCACUGAGAGACGGGCCCUACUCCUACGGGAGGCAGCAGUGGGGAAUCUUGGACAAUGGGCGAAAGCCUGAUCCAGCGACGCCGCGUGGAGGAAGAAGGUCUUCGGAUCGUAAACCUUUGUCAUCGAGGACGAUAAUGACGGUACUCGAGGAGGAAGCCCCGGCUAACUACGUGCCAGCAGCCGCGGUAAU